RNAcentral lists this ribosomal RNA (400 nucleotides) under uncultured Glomeromycotina. RNAcentral describes it as "eukaryotic LSU rRNA". Lineage: Eukaryota; Fungi; Glomeromycota. The record is from RNAcentral.
GAAAAGAACUUUGAAAAGAGAGUUAAACAGUACGUGAAAUUGUUGAAAGGGAAACGAUUAAAGUCAGUCGUACGGACGGGGAAUCAGCCUUUCGAGCGUGGAUACGCGGGAUUCGGAGAGCCCUUCGACCUCGCGUAUUUGAGUUCUUUUGGUGUACUUUCCCGUGACGUAGGUCAGCGUCGGUUUCGCGCGUCGUGAAAGGGCUCGGGUAAGGUGACUCUCUUCGGGGAGUGUUAUAGACCUGAGCAGAUGCGCUGCGCGGGACUGAGGAUUGCAGCGGACACCCCUCGGGGCGCGGCGACCGAUCCCUGCUUCAUCACCCUUGUCCGAUAGCGUGCUAACGGGCCGGGGAGCGGUGGGUGCACCGGGUUGGCAAGCCGGCGGUUUCGCUAAGGACGCU